Molecule: ribosomal RNA, 504 nt
Filed under: uncultured bacterium
Lineage: Bacteria
Description: bacterial SSU rRNA
Rfam family: Bacterial small subunit ribosomal RNA
Source: RNAcentral
AUCCUGGCUCAGGAUGAACGCUAGCUACAGGCUUAACACAUGCAAGUCGAGGGGAAACGAUAUUGGAAGCUUGCUUCCGAUAGGCGUCGACCGGCGCACGGGUGAGUAACGCGUAUCCAACCUGCCCACCACUUGGGGAUAACCUUGCGAAAGUAAGACUAAUACCCAAUGAUAUCUCUAGAAGACAUCUGAAAGAGAUUAAAGAUUUAUCGGUGAUGGAUGGGGAUGCGUCUGAUUAGCUUGUUGGCGGGGUAACGGCCCACCAAGGCGACGAUCAGUAGGGGUUCUGAGUGGAAGGUCCCCCACAUUGGAACUGAGACACGGUCCAAACUCCUACGGGAGGCAGCAGUGAGGAAUAUUGGUCAAUGGGCGAGAGCCUGAACCAGCCAAGUAGCGUGCAGGAUGACGGCCCUAUGGGUUGUAAACUGCUUUUAUAAGGGAAUAAAGUGAGUCUCGUGAGACUUUUUGCAUGUACCUUAUGAAUAAGGACCGGCUAAUUCCGUG